UGACAGGUGCUGCAUGGCUGUCGUCAGCUCGUGUCGUGAGAUGUUGGGUUAAGUCCCGCAACGAGCGCAACCCUUGUCUUUAGUUGCCAUCAUUAAGUUGGGCACUCUAAAGAGACUGCCGGUGUCAAACCGGAGGAAGGUGGGGAUGACGUCAAGUCCUCAUGGCCUUAUGACCAGGGCUACACACGUACUACAAUGGCAGGUACAAAGGGCAGCCACUUAGCGAUAAGGCGCGAAUCCCAUAAAACCUGUCUCAGUCCGGAUUGGAGUCUGCAACUCGACUCCAUGAAGUUGGAAUCGCUAGUAAUCGCAGAUCAGCACGCUGCGGUGAAUACGUUCCCGGGCCUU
RNAcentral lists this ribosomal RNA (348 nucleotides) under uncultured Desulfocapsa sp. RNAcentral describes it as "bacterial SSU rRNA". It matches the Rfam family "Bacterial small subunit ribosomal RNA", at positions 1032 to 1382 of the family's 1533-position model. Lineage: Bacteria; Pseudomonadati; Thermodesulfobacteriota; Desulfobulbia; Desulfobulbales; Desulfocapsaceae. The record is from RNAcentral.